GGGGUAUUGUUCCGUUUUGUUAUCGAUAUCUUUUUUUAUCUUAGGAUUGUAGAAUCUCAGUCGGUAUGUUGUUGCUUACUUGCUUAUUUUAGUAAAAAUCUCAGAUUUUUUUUAAAAUCCAAAAGCAAUGAACAAAAUAUCAAGGGCACUUUGAUUAAUAGACAGACAUCUCUGAUAUGAGCUCCAGUAGAGUCUGUGCCAGUUAUGAUGAUGAUGUUUGGUGCCGAGAUGGAUAUCGGGCAGGAAGAGGAAGGUUCUGAUAUGUUUAGAUGGAUAGAUGAGCAUGUCUUGAAGGUUAGUGCUGUAGAUUAGCUGUUAGCUUGGAUUCGAAUUUGGUAACUGUGGGAAUGAAAUGAAAUGAAUGAAAGAGUAGACUUUUAUGAAAACAAUCAGUUAUGUUAGUUUCUGUCAGGAUUUCCAGGAGGCUUCCAAAGACUUUUUUUUUUUUUUUUAGUAAUGAACGACAAAAAAAUAAUUUAUCAUACUUUUAUGUACAUGUAAGACAUAAGCUAAUGAGAAAAGGUCUAAUUGAUUUGUGAGGAGAUUUCUAAUGAAGCAAGAUUUGACGGGUCCUCUUGUGCUGGUUCUGAUGUCAGUACUAAAGACACAUUAGGCAGGUUACCUAGGUUUGCAUUAUUUCACUAGAACAGAACACUACAGGGCUUUGUCCAUUACAAAUUUGCUGCAGAUGCUUUGAAUUCAGUAAUAUGAAUAUUUCCUCUUGUUUACAAUAUAUGGAUACCUUUACACUACAUGAUAACUGGCCCGUACACUAAAUGUGUGUUGUACUGAUUUUUUGUUUCUUAACAAAGGUGAAGUUUUAUCAGUAUAAUAUCUGUGGUCUGUUGGGGUGAAUAUACUGCUAAGGUUUAUAACGCAAUUGCCUCAGUAAGCAAAAUUUUUAUGGUCAAAUUUUCUGAUCAAAUACAGCAAGCUAGGCCAUAGUAAUGAAAGUUAGAGGUUACAGAAAAAAUUAAAGUGGUGAGAGAAGAAAAAAUAUAACUAUAUUUUUGCAAACAUAGUAUUGAUGGCAGACUCUAGUGGGGUACAACAGUGUUGGAGAGAGCAGUGCAACAAAAUGUUUUAUGAAUUGUGGGUACAGUGAUGGUAUUGCACGUUUCUAGAACAUUGACUAAAAUGUGUAUGUCACUUAAACAUGAUUUUAUGCUUGCUUAGUGUGCAACUGUUCAGAAUAUAUAGUAACUGUUUACUUUUUUUUUUGUAGUGGUAGUACUAAUCACACAAGUUAAUGGAUUGGUAUUUAGAUUUCUUUUAAAUGCACCCAGAAUGAAUUUAUAUCCUUUUAUUAUGAUCUCUUUUUAAUCAAUGUAUGUGCAUGUACCUUAGAACCUUAAGUUCUGUUACAUUAUAUCUCUUUACAUAUUACUUUAAAAUUGGC
Cyprinus carpio carpio is the source of this 1399-nucleotide long non-coding RNA. The record is from Ensembl. NCBI's taxonomy places the organism in Eukaryota, Metazoa, Chordata, Actinopteri, Cypriniformes, Cyprinidae.